RNAcentral lists this ribosomal RNA (446 nucleotides) under Peripatidae sp. MCZ 32028. RNAcentral's name for it is "partial 12S ribosomal RNA". Lineage: Eukaryota; Metazoa; Onychophora; Udeonychophora; Euonychophora; Peripatidae. The record is from RNAcentral.
UAUUAUAAAUUAAUUUAAUCUGAAUAAAUCUAUUCACCAUAUUUUCUCUAAAAAUGAAAUCUCCAAAAAAAAUAAUCACAAAAUUUUCCUAAACAUAGAUAAAAACCAGGAUUAGAUACCCUGCUAUUCUACUAUUAAAUAAUAUUUCAAAGAAUUAUAAACAUAAUAAAUUUGACGGUAUUAACUUUUACAAAGGAAUUUGUUUCUAAAUCGACAACCCACGUUUUACCUUACUUAAUAAAUAUUUGUAUACCACCGUAAUAGAAAUUAUUUCAAAUUAAUCUCACAAUAAAUUUUCUUAAAAAAUCAGGUCAAGGUGCAAUUUUAUUAAGAUGAAAUGAAUUACAUUAAUUUAUAUUAAUUUAUAAUAGAUGAAAUUCUAUUAAAAAUAGAAUUUGUUAGUAAACUUUUAUCAUCAUGUUCAAUUGAAAAUCACCAUUAAUAUG